CGCCGGGAAGUGGGCGGCCGGGUUUCGCGAGCCACUCGAGGACGACGCGUGCCGCGCACGGGGGUCCUGAGCAU
Molecule: transfer RNA, 74 nt
Filed under: Streptomyces mutabilis
Lineage: Bacteria; Bacillati; Actinomycetota; Actinomycetes; Kitasatosporales; Streptomycetaceae
Source: RNAcentral